UACGGAGGGGGCUAGCGUUGUUCGGAAUUACUGGGCGUAAAGCGUCCGUAGGCGGCUUUUUAAGUCAGAGGUGAAAGCCCACGACUCAAUCGUGGAACUGCCUUUGAGACUGGAUCGCUUGAAGAUGGGAGAGGUUAGUGGAAUUCCGAGUGUAGAGGUGAAAUUCGUAGAUAUUCGGAAGAACACCAGUGGCGAAGGCGGCUAACUGGACCAUUCUUGACGCUGAGGGACGAAAGCGUGGGGAGCAAACAGG
RNAcentral lists this ribosomal RNA (253 nucleotides) under uncultured bacterium. RNAcentral describes it as "partial 16S ribosomal RNA". It matches the Rfam family "Bacterial small subunit ribosomal RNA", at positions 524 to 776 of the family's 1533-position model. The record is from RNAcentral.